Molecule: ribosomal RNA, 639 nt
Filed under: uncultured bacterium
Lineage: Bacteria
Description: bacterial SSU rRNA
Rfam family: Bacterial small subunit ribosomal RNA
Source: RNAcentral
AGAGUUUGAUUAUGGCUCAGGAUGAACGCUAGCGACAGGCUUAACACAUGCAAGUCGAGGGGCAGCGGGAGGAAAGCUUGCUUUUCUUGCCGGCGACCGGCGCACGGGUGAGUAACACGUAUGCAACCUGCCCAUGACAGGGGGAUAAGCGGGAGAAAUUCCGUCUAAUACCGCAUAACACCCCCGGGAGACAUCUCUCGGGAGUCAAAGGAGCGAUCCGGUCAUGGAUGGGCAUGCGGCGCAUUAGUUAGUUGGCGGGGUAACGGCCCACCAAGGCGACGAUGCGUAGGGGUUCUGAGAGGAAGGUCCCCCACACUGGUACUGAGACACGGACCAGACUCCUACGGGAGGCAGCAGUGAGGAAUAUUGGUCAAUGGGCGAGAGCCUGAACCAGCCAAGUCGCGUGAGGGAAGACGGUCCUACGGAUUGUAAACCUCUUUUGUCGGGGAGCAAUAAGGCGUACGUGUACGCAGAUGCGAGUACCCGAAGAAAAAGCAUCGGCUAACUCCGUGCAGGAAGCCGCGGUAAUACGGAGGAUGCGAGCGUUAUCCGGAUUUAUUGGGUUUAAAGGGUGCGCAGGCGGAAAGUGCAAGUCAGCGGUCAAACGACGGGGCUCAACCCCGUCUCGCCGUUGAAACU